Molecule: ribosomal RNA, 468 nt
Filed under: uncultured bacterium
Lineage: Bacteria
Description: partial 16S ribosomal RNA
Rfam family: Bacterial small subunit ribosomal RNA
Source: RNAcentral
GACGAACGCUGGCGGCGUGCUUAAUACAUGCAAGUCGAACGGAAAGACCAUAAUCUUGUGGGGUUCUUGAGUGGCGAGCGGGUGAGUAACACGUGUGUAAAAUGCCCCUGACUUACUGGUAACAUCACGGAAAUCGGGCGCAUAUAGGAUAUGAGCUCCUGAAGCGUGGUGGUGGAUGGAGAGUUUCGGCGGUUGUGGAUGGUCUCGCAGCAUAUCCGCUUCUUGGUCGGGUAGUGACUUACAAAGGCUAUGAAGGGUAGCCGGCCUUGGAGGGUGAACGGCCACAUUGGUACUGAGGGACGGACCAGACUCCUACGGUAGGCAGCAGUGGGGAAUAUUGCACAAUGGGCGCAAGCCAGAUGCGACAACGCCGCGUGCGGGAUAACGUCCUACGAGUUGUAAACCGAUUUCUCAGUUGACGAAGCGUGAGUGACGGUAAUGAGUAAAAAAGCACCGGCUAACUACGUG